Molecule: ribosomal RNA, 253 nt
Filed under: uncultured bacterium
Lineage: Bacteria
Description: partial 16S ribosomal RNA
Rfam family: Bacterial small subunit ribosomal RNA
Source: RNAcentral
UACGAAGGGGGCUAGCGUUGCUCGGAAUCACUGGGCGUAAAGCGCACGUAGGCGGAUUGUUAAGUCAGGGGUGAAAUCCUGGAGCUCAACUCCAGAACUGCCUUUGAUACUGGCGAUCUUGAGUCCGGGAGAGGUGAGUGGAACUGCGAGUGUAGAGGUGAAAUUCGUAGAUAUCGGGAGGGACACCGGUGGCGAAGGCGGCGACCUGGGUAGAUACUGACGCUGAGGCGCGAAAGCGUGGGGAGCAAACAGG